ACUCAGAAUGUAAACACUUCACUUAGAAGUCUUAUAAGAGUUUCUUCCAUCUUACUUUUGAACUUUCUCUUCUAGCCUUUUGGAGAAGUCCCCUAAAGUUAGUAAGUUUCUUUAAAUAGCAAUUAGUUUUGUAACUUAUUUCCAUAUUUUUAUGCAUAAUAAAAUUGCCAACGGGAACACAUAAGUGUUGUUCAUGUUUUGGACAGAUUCUGUGUUGUCACUUUGAACGACCCAUAACUUCGUUAAAACUUAACCAAAUAAAGUAAACUCUUAUUUCAUGAUUAAGUACUCAUUUCAAUGAUGUACAAGACGCUUAAAAACACUUCUGUUUGGACACUCAACCGUUUGAAACCAAACUGAAGCACAAAACUAAACGAUAUGUAAAGAUCAACAGUUUUGACCAAUUUUGUGGCUAUAUAUUAUUAAAUGACUUUGUGUGAAACUUGUUUGGAUAACUCCUCGCGUUGCAUUCAUUAAAUUUGAUCAAGCCCACGUGUAGUAUAUUAUAACGCUAUAGGUGUAACGACCCAUCCCUAUGCAUGGACUUGCUCAUGGUACAUGGGAUGUAUCUCGUGGGAUGGGAUGAUAGAAUCUGUGCAUAUAUAUCAACGUUAGACUUGAAUGUACCCCCCUUAGUUAUUAUACAUGUUAAAUGCAAAUUGCUUUAGUUAUUAUAUUUUGGCAUCACAAAACUUUUUUUACAAUCGAAACCACUGUAUUGCAAUACUAAAUAUUUUGCCAUGUAUUUGGCUACAAAAACCUAUUUUCACUAUUCAACUCUUUUAGUUGGCCAACAUACUACAAUACCUAACUUUUUUCCAUUUACUUAGCCACAAUACCUAUGUAACUUAGCAACUUUUUAGUUGACCCUUUAUUUUUUGCGUAUGUUUCAGGUACUAGUAUUUGAUGAUGCUAUUUAAGUAUGUUUCACAUAGGAAACGGACUUGGGCCUUAGUUUGCUUUUAUUUAAAAACAUUUACUAUGUUGUUUUGUGUUUGAAAAACAAAUGUAAUUCAGUUGAUUAAUAUAAUGGAACUUUAAAUUAGUGUCAUGUGUUAUGAACAAUCUUGUAACUUGAUUCCCUGACGUUUUUGCCGAGGAUUCCACACGGUCGGGGUGUUACAUGAAGGCUUUAGGGAGAUUUUGUGAUAAUGGGAACAUGAGGAAUGUUCUAGGCAUAAUUUAAAGGUGAGGCUGAGAUCGAAAGAUGGGAAUUCAGAAUGGUAAAAUUCUUCCUUGAGUGCUUGCUGUUUUGGAGAGUGUUCUUUUUCUUCUUGAAGUCUUUGGAUAUGGUAGUGCAAACCAUUGGGAGUCGAUUGAAAUGGAAGAUGACUCAUUGGCUAGCGUCGCCAUGACUGGGUCUGUCAGGCUGGACUGGAGCUCUCGGGAGUUUUAAUGGGCCUUACAAAAAGAAAAAAAUGAUGCAAGGGCCACCGCAACUAGGCGGAUUGAUUAUUUUAAAAUCUUAGCAUGUUCUUGAAACUACAUGCGUGAAUUAUUUUUGUUGUUAAGGGUUACUCGAGUUACUGAAUGAUUGGAUUGCUUUGUGAUUGCACGAUGGGCUUGAGUUUAUCACAAGGCUUUCAAGUGGGAGAUUGUAGGGUUUGAAGACCUUUGUUAUUGGGCUUUUGGUUAGAAGAUUAAUGGUGAGUCAGCUUUAUUAAAUUAAUUAAGGGCCUAUUUGCUUUUUUUUGUUCACCAAGAUAGAAACCCAGAAUCUACACCAAUAAAGAUAUACCCUAGUUGCACCCCGUGUACAUACGUUUUCCACUGGGACCAAACCACGUAAAGAUUCCUGUGUAGUUUAUUAUUUUUUGUACUAUGUGUUUAUAUCGUUUAUGCAUGUCUGUGUGUAUUAAU
This 1860-nucleotide long non-coding RNA is filed under the name Helianthus annuus (common sunflower). RNAcentral's name for it is "hypothetical non coding rna". Lineage: Eukaryota; Viridiplantae; Streptophyta; Magnoliopsida; Asterales; Asteraceae. The record is from RNAcentral.